Molecule: ribosomal RNA, 510 nt
Filed under: uncultured bacterium
Lineage: Bacteria
Description: partial 16S ribosomal RNA
Rfam family: Bacterial small subunit ribosomal RNA
Source: RNAcentral
GACGAACGCUGGCGGCGUGCUUAACACAUGCAAGUCGAACGAAGAGCGAUGGAAGCUUGCUUCUAUCAAUCUUAGUGGCGAACGGGUGAGUAACGCGUAAUCAACCUGCCCUUCAGAGGGGGACAACAGUUGGAAACGACUGCUAAUACCGCAUACGAUCUAAUCUCGGCAUCGAGGAUAGAUAAAAGGUGGCCUCUACAUGUAAGCUAUCAUUGCAGGAGGGGAUUGCGUCUGAUUAGCUAGUUGGAGGGGUAACGGCCCACCAAGGCGAUGAUCAGUAGCCGGUCUGAGAGGAUGAACGGCCACAUUGGGACUGAGACACGGCCCAGACUCCUACGGGAGGCAGCAGUGGGGAAUCUUCCGCAAUGGACGAAAGUCUGACGGAGCAACGCCGCGUGAGGGAUGACGGCCUUCGGGUUGUAAAGCUCUGUUAAUCGGGACGAAAGGCCUUCUUGCGAACAGUUAGAAGGAUUGACGGUACCGGAAUAGAAAGCCACGGCUAACUACGUG